This 885-nucleotide unclassified non-coding RNA is filed under the name Hevea brasiliensis (rubber tree). Lineage: Eukaryota; Viridiplantae; Streptophyta; Magnoliopsida; Malpighiales; Euphorbiaceae. The record is from RNAcentral.
GAGGUUCCAUUGCUUGUCCAAGCUGAAAAUCACGAGGGGGAAAAAUGAGUUUCAUUGCAAGCAGUGCUGUGACACUAAGUAAUGUAGUUCAAUGCAGUUUAUACUGUUUCUCAUUUUAACUGAAGACUCCUCAAGAAGCGAGAAAAAAAGAGGGUGAAAACAUCUAAGUUAUUUCUUUUAAUGGAUAUAAUUUGGAAAAAAAUAAAUUGCAACCAAUUUGCAGAGUUUAGGUAUAGUUUCUGUCAAUGUUUAUAUUAGCUGACUUAUUGUGGAACCUCGUACCUCCACAAGUUUUAUCUGCAAUACCUGUCAAGACUCUAGCUUACAGUAAGAAAGAGCAACAGAUUGAAUUGUCUUAAAUUUAAACAAAACCUUUAUCUGCAAAUCUGUCUAGGCCCUUGCUCAUUAAUAAUGAUUAAGGAACAAACAUGAGCAGAAUGUAGGAAAUAGACAAAUUUAAGGUGAAGGCCACUGUAAGAUCAAACACUUUUCCCUGCCCUUAAAGAAAUAAGAUCAAGCCCUGAAAAAUGAGCAAUAAGCACUGUGCUGAAACAUGAUCAUGAUUAAUUAGUGCUAUGGAAAAAGAAAAAUGUAUUAUAAUUAGUACAGCUUGUAAAAUAUUAAACAGCACUUGGACUUAUCGAAGUCUUCCAAAGCUGAGUGUUUAUGACAAUGCAAGUUCCUGCACAUAGGCUUAUAUAGACAGAGAAAGGCUCAUAUUUCCACUCACCACUAGAGAAAUUCAGGGGGCUAAUAUGGAGGGAAUGACAAUAAGGAAGAUCUGAGAAUCAGAGAUUUUGGGUCUGGUAGCUAGAGUUUUUUUCCUUUUUUCACUAAUUUCUCAGAUUUUCUACAUCCUUACCAUUAAAUUUUAUAAAACUGGAA